RNAcentral lists this non-coding RNA (325 nucleotides) under Pongo abelii (Sumatran orangutan). Lineage: Eukaryota; Metazoa; Chordata; Mammalia; Primates; Hominidae. The record is from RNAcentral.
CUGGAGGGCAGAGUGAAAGCAGGAGAAAGCUGCAGCUUUUCUUCUUCAUCCUCCUUGGGGAGCUAAUUACAGGCCAGCAGCCACUGUGCAGGUGAGCUGUGGACACCAGCAGCCCAAGGACGCUAUUGGGGAUGCUCUGGAGGAGCCAAAGGCAGAAAUGUGAUCCUUACGCUGAGGCCACGGAGAGUGAGGGCUCUCAGAGGAACCCCUGCUCUCCACCAUUCCGGGGAGGGGCCUUUCUGUCUCCCAGAAUGAAUCCCUUGUAACCUCCUGGGAUCUUUCUUUUCAUCACAAGAACUAAAUAAAGAAACUUGAAGAUCUUCUA